Molecule: ribosomal RNA, 301 nt
Filed under: uncultured bacterium
Lineage: Bacteria
Description: bacterial SSU rRNA
Rfam family: Bacterial small subunit ribosomal RNA
Source: RNAcentral
AACGAACGCUGGCGGCAGGCCUAACACAUGCAAGUCGAGCGGACCCUUCGGGGUUAGCGGCGGACGGGUUAGUAACGCGUGGGAACGUGCCCAAAGGUACGGAAUAGCCUCGGGAAACUGAGAGUAAUACCGUAUGUGCCCCUCAGGGGAAAGGAUUUAUCGCCUUUGGUAUCGGCCCGCGUUGGAUUAGGUAGUUGGUGGGGUAGUGGCCUACCAAGCCGACGAUCCAUAGCUGGUUUGAGAGGAUGAUCAGCAACACUGGGACUGAGACACGGCCCAGACUCCUACGGGAGGCAGCAGU